AGGACCGCUGCACUCCUGGUCUUGGGGUUUCUUUCUUUCUUUCUUUCUGUCCUUUGGAAAUGGUGAAAGGAUCACAUGAGGAGGAGGCACGGAGACCCAGGACACUUGAACGUCGGAGAAGGCAUCGGGCACAUAUGUGUGGGGAUCUUCAUCCAUAGUGUACAAAUACAUGUAUACACAAAUGAUUAUAUUUGUAUAGGCAGGGAUCCGCCUAUACUGGAACAAUCUUUAAGCCAAAUUCAACAACUUGUCUCUCUGUAUUAUCCUAGUGCAUUUACAUUAAUCAAAUCUGCAGCAUCCUAAUAAAAAAUCAGACACUUUCCCUUCACACCCUGCAUGGCUUGUACAUCUGGGAGAUGAUUUUGGAAGUGCUAAGAAGAGGAAAGAGCAUUUCCUGGCAUGUGUCCUACUUCAGCUAAACAUGGCAGAAGGCUCUUUUCCACUACUUACCUGGUGUUAGUGCUCUGUGAAGGCAUCCCAGCACCACAGGACUGUCUCCCUCUCAGGUGCUUCCUUUCCACUGUUACUACAAUGCUGCCUUACUCCAGUUCAACACAUUGCUGGAAGCAUGGUCAACUCAUCAUUAGAUGAAGUUCCCCAGGGCUUUAUCUUAUCAGACCUUGAAACCAUCCGAAGAUGGAGACUGUACAACUUCUCUGGGACACCUAUUUAAUCUUGACUGCUCUUGUGGGGAGGAAGUUUUUGUAUAUAUCAUGUGAACCGCUCUUCUUUCAGUUUAUGCUUCUUGUGUCUCAUAUUCCCACCACACACCAUUGUGAAGAGGAUGGCUCUGUCUUCUCAACUCCUUCCAUGUAGAUGUUAGUUAGAUCACCCAGAGGUGACCUUCUUCUCUGGGGUGAACAAGCCCUGGUCCCUCAAAUUCUUUUCACAGGGGAAGCUAUCCAGCCCCCAAUUAUGUUGAUGUCCACUCCAUUACUCACUCCCCUUUAGCAAUGUCUUUACUGUAUGGAGUGGGCCAAAACUGGACAAGGUAGUCUUGUAGUGGUCUAAUGAGUGGGAAUAAACACUUGAUUUCCUCCUGUUCCUACAGCUCAGGAUGCAGUUGGCCCUUGCUGUUGCAGGUGCACGCUGCUGGCUCACACUCAGCUUGCUGCCCACUACGACCUCCAGGAACUUCGCAGCAGAACUACCCACAAACGGUCCGUUCCCAGCCCAUAACACUGCAAGAGGCUCUGCUUCCCAUGUGCAGGACUUUACAUGUGUCUUUGCUGAAUUUGAUAAGGCUCCUGUUGUCCCCAUUCCUUCAACAGGUCUGGGUCCCUCCACCCUCAACUAUACUUACUGUUCUCCCCUUUCUUGGUGUCACCUGCAAACUUGAAGAAAGAGCACUUCAUCACCUCCAUCACAUUAUUGUUAGAGAUACUAAACAGGACAGAUACGUAUGCAACAUUUGUAUUUCAAGAAUUCAGGUAGUUCAUUGGGUCUUUCUGGUUCUGAGACUGACAAAGUCUCUCUACAAAGUGUUAUUAAUUCUGACCAGCUGAAGUGAUUUGAACUAAGAGUAAAUUGAUGGGCUGUAUUAUGACACCAGAAAAUGUCCUUAUUUCACUAAUAACAUUGUCUGAAUGAAGACUGAAAGAGUGUGGGGUUCAUAAUAUCAGGUAGGCUUUCAAUAAAGGGAUUUCAAGAAAAUCUCUGGUUCAGCAAAGGCAUAAAAGCAAGUAUUUUAAUUUUCAUAGCUGUACAGUGUGGUACUGUCAGGGUGAGCUUGGUCUAUAAUUAUAAUUUCUAAGAAUGAAUUAUAUUAAAAUGGCAAGAAAAGAUCUUUGUGAGGAAAUAUGAGCUGUAAAAUGUGAGUGUUACAUUCUACAGAUUGUCAUUAUUUUGAAGCCUUAAAAUAAACAAAUGUUUCCAAAAGGGAACACAGGCUAUUCAGAUACCAAAUUCUUUUGUUUUCAUAAGUGUCCCUUUGAAUGCAUUGAAUCCAGCAUUUAGCACUUGGCAUCUAAUUAAUUUGUUAUCAGGGAGGAAGUCACGGCGUGAUGCAAUUCCCGAUUCUCAUAAGUACCAGAAUCUGUUUUUUAAACUGUGGAGGCAGAGCACUAAUAAUAACUGGUUUCUCAGCUUAAGUACUAUUUCCUUUCCAGCUCCAGAUCAUACCUUAAAGAUAUCCUCCUCCACGCUCAGGAGGGGUGGCGGUAAAAAAAAACAAAACAAAAACAAACCAAAAAAACCCAAAAACAAACAAAAAAAAAACAACAAACAAACUCUCCUUAGCAAAAUAUAACCCUCAGGAUUUUUUGCCAUUAGUAAAGCAAAUCACAUUUUUCUUUUAUUCUGCUUUAAGAACCCUCAUCCCCAGUCCAUUUUGAAGUUCAUAGAGAUAAUAUCCUGGGUAAUAUGAAUGAAGGAUUUCGCAUAUUUUCUAUAACUAGACUUCCAAGAGACCAAUUAAUUUUAACUGGAAGGAUGGAGGGACAGUUCUGUUAUUCACCUUUUCAAAGCGCAGAACAGGCCUUGCUUUUACUGAGUAGGCUCAUCAAAUUUACAUAACCAUUUAAUUAAAUGUUUGCAGCAAUAAUUGACCUCAAGAGUAAGUCAUCUGAUAAUAAAUAGAUUCCACUCUGUCUAAAUAGUAUUUUACUGACUCUGAGAUGCUAUUCAUAGUCUGGUAGCUUUGCCACAAACCUCACCAGCAAUUAGCUUAAAUGCAUAUUCCAUUGUAAAACUGACAGUGAAUCAAAAUGAAGUUUAACAGUAGAGAUUUCAGCACAUGGUCCAAAACAGAAAGUAACAUGCAUUUCUCUGAAACUUUUCAGGGCCAGAUCAGAACUGAAAUAGGGAAAAAAAACCCGGACAAACAACCCUAGCCCAGAUUUGUUUAGUGUCUUCAUGUUUUUCUAUUUUUUCGACUUGCUUAAAUAAUUGCUUAAAUAAUGUUACACAUGUGUCAAUUUGAGUACAAUUAUGUUUCAAGUAAAAAGGCUUUUAUUAGUUUUGAUGUAAUUAGUUUUGAUUAGUUUUGAUGUAAUACAGUGAUAACCUCAACAACCUAAAACUGACAUACAUUUAACGUCCUCCCUCCUCCAAGGUAUUGAUUUAUUACUCUGCCUUUGUUUAAAACCUACGAGCUAAGUUCAGAGGUGAUGCAUAAAGUGUGUAAUUUAGAGUCCUUUAUGCUCAGUUAGGCUCUUUAAGACCUACUUACGCUCACUUACUAGAGUAUAAGUCAGGGAAAUGGAGUGUAAAUUGAUGUGAUUUACACGUGGAGGAGCUGGAAGAGUGAGAAGGUAUUACUUACAGGAAGGAAUAGACUUCUAAUGAGCACUUUCUAAUACUCAUCUGGUUUUCUUUCUACACCUCUGCAUGCCUGAGUAAACAUGUUUGCAUUUGCCUGCUUAAGCUCCUGUGAGACUUUCUGGGCCAAUGUUGCUGAUUAUAUGUAAAAAGUGUGAUAGAAGUUGUGUACUGAGGAGUGAGUAUGAGGUUUAUAAAUAAGCAUGCAAAGGCUCUGGUUCACAUUCCUCUUCAUAAUUCGCUGCAAACCCAGCAGUUUUGUCGUUACUUGUAAUGACUGAAGAUCUUCUCACCUAAGGUGCUUGCUCUGCCUUCUAUCAGAAGAUUUUUACAUCAAAUGCACACUGCACGUUGUGUCCCUGUGCCUUGUUUGACAAACUGGCAGGUAAGAGGUAUGCUCCAUCAUGUUUUCUGUGGGAUAAGAACAUGCACCUGGCAGCUACCACGUUGCUGUAAUUUCACACUCUUACCCUGUGGUUAAGUUGCUCUUUUGCCAAGUGAGCUAUGUAAAGCCUUGUCAGCUCCCAGAAUUCUACCACUUGAAACAUGUCUGUUCAAGCAUUACCAGUACAGAGGCAAUUCCUGCAGAAUGAAGAACCACAAAUAUAUUAAUCUCCAGUUCUACUGCCUUCAAAAACUCUGCCUGUAAUACACCAAUUUACUAAUUAAAAAAAAAAAGCUCAAAGAACCCCGAACCACCAAUGAAACAAACAACAAAACAAACAAAGAAAAAACACCACUCCAGGUCAAAAUACCCUAAGAACCCAGUUAUACAUGAAAAAGACUCAAGUUUAAAAUUAAUUGGAGGCAUAAUAAACAUACGUGGGAAGAAAAGAGAAGAAAGAGGAGUAAAAGAGAUUUAAACUAUCCUAGUUAAGACUCUGGGAAGACUUUGGCCUGGACUCCUCUGGAAAGUUUUGCAGCAUAUGUCAGAUAAAGUGCGAAAAGCAAAACGGGAAGAUCUAUCUAGUUUUUGCUGUGCUGGCAAAAUGAGAUACAUUUGUUCUGGCCAAAAAAAUGUUUCAGCAAGUGUAGUUCAUCUUGCACAAAGAAUUAACAUUGGCUUUCUUUUUCUCUUAUUUAUUUAUUUAUUUAUUUAUUUAUUUAUUUAUUUAUUUUUAAAUGCUACAUUUUUAUAGAAAACCUUUACCAAGUCACUAUAGUGCUGUAGUUAUCUAUUUUAACAUGCAAGAUGAUAAAGGUAUUCAUAUAGGUAUAGUCUAUAUGUAAACUUUGCUAUGUAAAUCAGUGCAAUAUAGAGGUAUAUUUAAACUUUAUAUACAGGAAGAGUUAAGCCUUCAUAAGAACUCUAACUUUCUUGUGCAAUAUGUUUCUGUUUUUGUUUUUUUCUACAUCUAAACUGUAAGCAGAUAACUAAACUGCAAGAGAAAACCUAAUCUCAAUAGGCCUGCUAGCUUGCAUAGAAAAUCCCCGAAGAGGAUAACGAGUAUGAGGUCACUUGGAGAAACUGCUGAUGUUCAUUUCCAGCUGCAGCUCUCUAUUCAGCCAGGUCAGUCUUCUUCCCUGACGGCUCGUCUUCCAGCACACAGGGACAGACUUCUCCCGCGCCUCUAAGAUUUCCUCCUUGAAGAGCAACCAGCCUUCCUGGGCUCCUUUGCCCUUCAGGACUGCCUCCCAAGGGACUCUGCCAACCAGCCUCCUAAACAAAUCAAAGUCUGUCCUUCAGAAGUCCAAGGGACAUGGAUUUCCUAGGAAAAUCCCUGUUGCCCAGGGAGUGGAUCGUGUGAUCUUAUGCUGCAAGUAUCUUCUCUCUUCUAAGCCAAGAAAUUUUGACCCACUUAUACAAUUCAGCUUCCCCUCUACACCCUCUGCUGGAGCUGCCACACUUCAAAAUAUGUGAGUGACAAGAGGCUUGACAGUCUUUGGGGUGGUGAAGGAUCUGGCAGGAGCAAGCCUGCCCAGCAUGCUCAUCAGGACUCAAGCACCCCUCCCCUCCAGCAGCUCUGUGUGUGUGUGUGAAUGCACACGUGCCUGUACGCCUACCUCCUUCCUCCUUCCUGUACCUUAAGCGACCAGCAACUACAGAGGCCCUUUCCAAAGAGAUGAUAUUAAAGCAGAUAUAUCUUGUCCAUUUGCCAGAAAAAGCUGGGGGAUGCUGGCUGUACUCUAGUGGUAGGCACAGCUACCCAUCUUGAGGCCAGCACCUCAGCAGAAGCAUCUACCUGCGACUUAGUUUAUGCUAAUAUGUUAAAACAAAAAUACAGUUUAUAUUAAAAUGUGUUCCGUUCUCCUUGCUGCAAAGGUAAUAAUCAUAAUAACCAUUGAUAGAUGAGCAGAAUAGCCAAUAUUGAGCAUUUACCAUGUUUAUCAGCUCUCUGAUAUCACACCACCAAACGUGACUAAACAUCCUGAGAGAAAAGAUAGUACACCUUCACUCCCAUUGUACACCCUUAUAAUAGCCAGGUAAAACAUGAUUUUCACAAGCUCCAUUUGAUACAGGUAAAAAUAAUUGUAUCCUACUUAAAUCUGUUAGAUGAAAGACUUGAAGUGGCAUUUUCUAGGUCAGAAGGAGAAUCAACAUCUGUAUUUGCAGUGGAGUGCCAGACCCUGACUUCUGUCUUGUGCUCCCAAUGCUAAAUCAUAUCUCAUAAUGCUGAGCAGUGGUGAUGAAUGUGCUGUGGAAUUUGCUUUGCAAAACAAAUAUUUAACUUUCUACAGAUCACUGAAGACCUGAUAAAACUCUUAAGUGUCAGCUAACCGAUUUCCUUUUCUUUUUAAUGGAAGAAUAUUUUUAUUCUUUUCAUCUAAAUGUAUGGUUCAAAUAAAAUUAAAAAGGCCAUUGACAGUUAUCUUCAAAUAUCAUUUCUGUGAACAGGCUUCACAGAGUCAGAGAAUGUAGAACAAGUCUUUGAAGGAAAAAUUCUGAUUAACAGCAUAGGUUAUUUCAAAGAUAGGAAUCACACUGGUGAUUAGUCAAGAGAUCCAAUGCUUCCUUCUUGCUUUUGGGUGUGAAGAGGCCAACGGCCAGGAAGCAGGGGUGACGUGUGCAGCUUUGGCAGCCCAGGCGCUGCUCCCCUCUGCACAGGCAUGUGGUGCAAAUUCCAUGGUGGGGAAGGGCAGACCAGGAGCCAAGCAAGCACUACAGAGAACAAGAUAACAAGAUAAAUAGUUUCUUCCCAGAAAAGACAUGGGAAUGUUGACACAAGCUAAUAAUUCAUCCAGUUCCAGUCUCCAAAAAGGGAGAUUGAAGAGCACAAAAGGCAUUCAGCAUGUGACAGGAGAGUAUUUUUUAUUUAUUUGUUUAGUUAUUUAGUUAAUUUUUUUAUUAUUAUUAUUGUUUACUGUACCUUCUUGUGAGAAUUGAAAGCUUUCCUUUGUUUAGGUAGAAAAGAAAAGAUAGCACAGAUGCUGAAAAAUAUACCCAAAUACAAUGUUGGUAGGAAAAGACAGUCUGAAAAUGCCAGUGUGAUGGAGGGAUUCUGUGAAGGUAACUAUGCAGUUGUUUUGCAACUCUUUUCAAUAAAUUAGCUAAAUAUAUUAUCUACAUUAUUUGUUGUUCUUACUCAUUUUGAUCACACUGUCUACAGCAAGAUUUCCAUUUAACAGGGUAUCUUUUUUUAGUUUAAGAUCUUAUAGAUCUAAAUUUGAAAUAUUUUAUGUCAAAUAUUAUUCCUCCUUUACUCCUCUCUAGAAAGAAAAGAAGGCCUUUUACAAGUGUUAACAUAUUUAAUCUUGUCAAGUUCCAACAUUAAAAAAAGCUUAAAAGAAAAAAAAAAAAAAAAUCAAAACUUAGGAAGUACUAGGAAUGGGACUGAGUAUGAAGUGGAAAAUAUAAUUGUGUUACUGUAUAUGUUGGCAGAGUGCUCACAGAUUCAACACUGAAUUAAUUUCUGGUCUUCUUAUCUUAAAAUAGAAUACAGUAAACCAAGACAAGGCGCAUUGAAAUGAGAGAAGGUUGAUUAAAGGAACAAAUGGCUCCCAUAUUAAGAGCAUACAAAUAGAUUUGGGUUAUACAAGACAAAAAAGGCACAAAUAAGAAGGAAAUUACAAGAUCAAAAGCAGCAUUAUUUGCUUGGAGAAGGGAGUUCAUUACAGAGCCCAAAUGUGACUGGUGAAUUUGAGCAAAUACAGAUGGAAAAGAAAAAGCUUUUGGGAAAAUAAGGAAGCUGAAGAAAUAGGUUGACAAUUCAGUUUGUAACAGAAAAAAAUGGAAAGAAUACUGAAAAAUGCAUGGAUAGUGUAAAUCUCUUUCCCAUAUCCUUACAGCUGUGGAAGAGCAGGUAUUAUAGCAGAGUCCAGAGGAAGAGACUGUGGGGAAACUCGACCCUCAGACGUGUUUGGUCCUCAUGUUCACUGGAUGUUCACUGGAUGAUCUCCUACCUCCCUAGGGCCCCUUCUGUGGUUCAGAGGCAGGAGGCUGGUCUGGGAGGCCUCCAGCUCAUCAUCACCAGAUCUGCUCCCACCGUGUCCCUGCAAUGGUAUUCUUCUGGCAGUAAAUCUCUGCGACACAUCAGUAAUAAUUUUACCAGAAGUGAAGCAGAAUGGAAAGGUUCACAAAAUGGACACUACUUCUCUGUGAAUGAGGUCUCCCUCAAAGUAAGAGCUACAGUUGGCUGCAGAUCAAGUACAUGUAAAGAUUUCACUAUUUAAAUGGUGCUGUAGCCGUUUCUUCAUCAGCAAUAUAAGAUAUUCAUUGAAGUACAAUUUUUCUUUUUCAGGUAGUCAUCCUUAAGUGCUGCCAGUUGAAUUCUUGUUGUAUAGAGCUAUAAUUAACACUGAUCAGUCACUGGUGUGACUUUCCUCUUUAUGAUAUGCUAAAGCACAUGGUUGAUAUUCCAGGAUGAUUUGUAGCUCCCAGAAAGCUAUUUUGCCACUAUUUACAACAGUUAAUUAAAGCCAUAUAUGUAGA
Columba livia (rock pigeon) is the source of this 8128-nucleotide long non-coding RNA. RefSeq lists it as uncharacterized. The transcript has 10 exons. NCBI's taxonomy places the organism in Eukaryota, Metazoa, Chordata, Aves, Columbiformes, Columbidae. The record is from RefSeq and is a predicted model, not a curated record.